AUACGAAGGGUGCUAGCGUUGUUCGGAAUUACUGGGCGUAAAGAGCAUGUAGGCGGAUUGAUUAGUCAGAGGUGAAAGCCCCGAGCGCAACUUGGGAAUUGCCUUUGAUACUGUCAAUCUAGAGACCGAGAGAGGUGAGUGGAAUUCCCAGUGUAGAGGUGAAAUUCGUAGAUAUUGGGAAGAACACCAGUGGCGAAGGCGGCUCACUGGCUCGGUACUGACGCUGAGAUGCGAAAGCGUGGGGAGCAAACAGGAUUAGAAACCCUAGUAGUCC
RNAcentral lists this ribosomal RNA (274 nucleotides) under uncultured bacterium. RNAcentral describes it as "partial 16S ribosomal RNA". It matches the Rfam family "Bacterial small subunit ribosomal RNA", at positions 523 to 796 of the family's 1533-position model. The record is from RNAcentral.